GAUUGGCCACGGUCUCGACGUACAGGACCUUGGUUUCCCCUUCCUUAACCGCCGCCCUCACCGCGUCGAGGUCGUCGAUGUCGACGAAGGUGGUGCGGAUUCCGCAGGACCGGGGGAGGAAGUGCGAGAGGAGGGCGUGGGUGCCGCCGUAGAGGCAUCGGGAGGCAACCACGUGACCGCCGGCGCCGCAGAUCUGGAUGAGGACGGAUGAGAUGGCGGACAUACCGCUGGCGGUGCAGUAGGCGGCCUCGGUGCCCUCGACGGCGGCCAUCUGGCGGCCGAGGUUGAGGACGGUUGGGUUGAAGUGCCGGCUGUAGAUGUAGAAGUCGCGGUCGGGUCCGAGCUCACCCGAGAACAUGCGCCGCAUGGUCUCCGCCUCCAUCACAGUGAACGUCGCCGACGCCUCGAUCGACAUGUUCACCCCGCCGUGCU
RNAcentral lists this long non-coding RNA (432 nucleotides) under Musa acuminata (dwarf banana). RNAcentral describes it as "long non-coding RNA (MACU_LNC004433)". The record is from RNAcentral. Lineage: Eukaryota; Viridiplantae; Streptophyta; Magnoliopsida; Zingiberales; Musaceae.